UACAGAGGGGGCAAGCGUUAUUCGGAAUUAUUGGGCGUAAAGGGCGCGUAGGCGGUCGUGCAAGUGGAAGGUGAAAUCCCUCGGCUCAACCGAGGAACUGCCUUUCAAACUGCAUGACUUGAGUCCGGGAGAGGUGAGUGGAAUUCCCAGUGUAGCGGUGAAAUGCGUAGAUAUUGGGAGGAACACCAGUGGCGAAGGCGGCUCACUGGACCGGAACUGACGCUGAGGCGCGAAAGCGUGGGGAGCAAGCGGG
This 253-nucleotide ribosomal RNA is filed under the name uncultured bacterium. RNAcentral describes it as "partial 16S ribosomal RNA". It matches the Rfam family "Bacterial small subunit ribosomal RNA", at positions 524 to 776 of the family's 1533-position model. The record is from RNAcentral.